Molecule: ribosomal RNA, 444 nt
Filed under: uncultured bacterium
Lineage: Bacteria
Description: partial 16S ribosomal RNA
Rfam family: Bacterial small subunit ribosomal RNA
Source: RNAcentral
CUACGGGGGGCACCAGUGGGGAAUAUUGCACAAUGGGCGCAAGCCUGAUGCAGCAACGCCGCGUGAGGGAUGAAGGCCUUCGGGUUGUAAACCUCUUUUAGCAGGGAAGAAGCGAAAGUGACGGUACCUGCAGAAAAAGCACCGGCUAACUACGUGCCAGCAGCCGCGGUAAUACGUAGGGUGCAAGCGUUGUCCGGAAUUAUUGGGCGUAAAGAGCUCGUAGGCGGGUUGUCACGUCUGCUGUGAAAAUCCAAGGCUCAACCUUGGACUUGCAGUGGGUACGGGCAGGCUAGAGUGCGGUGGGGGGGAUGGGAAUUCCUGGUGUAGCGGUGGAAUGCGCAGAUAUCAGGAGAAACACCAAUGGCGAAGGCACAUCUCUGGGCCGUAACUGACGCUGAGGAGCGAAAGCGUGGGGAGCGAACAGGAUUAGAUACCCCUGUAGUC